Molecule: long non-coding RNA, 450 nt
Filed under: Homo sapiens (human)
Lineage: Eukaryota; Metazoa; Chordata; Mammalia; Primates; Hominidae
Description: LNC_000563
Source: RNAcentral
UCACCCUUGCUUCACCGAAGAUGGCCUCAGGUCACUCGCUGUCAAACUUAAUAGAAUUGACCUGGACAGAGAUUGAGCCUCCCCGGUAGCUGCCCCGCUUCUUCUUGGUUUUCUCAUGCCGAAAGGACUUGCCUUUGGUGAACUUCAAAACCUGAUUGGCUCGCUCUCCCCAGUCUCCGGCUGCACCUCGCUUGGCAUCAAAGGAGUUGUCCGCAACUCGUGAAUCCACCUCAAUUUCCUCCUCCCUGACCCUUCGGAAUGGGGAUGAUGCCCUUUUUUCUCCUUUCUUCCUUUUUGGAAAUGUGUUAGGGGUCUGAAGCUUUAUCUUCUUGGCCUGAGGAGUCUCUGCCUCCUUGGCAGCCUCAUUCUGCUUCCGCUUCUUUAAUGAACCUGAUUUGGAAACUACCACUGCCGCCUUUUUCUUUUCUUCUUCCUCCUCCUCACUGUUCU